This 318-nucleotide unclassified non-coding RNA is filed under the name Hevea brasiliensis (rubber tree). Lineage: Eukaryota; Viridiplantae; Streptophyta; Magnoliopsida; Malpighiales; Euphorbiaceae. The record is from RNAcentral.
UUUUUAUUUUAUUUUAAUUUAAUGUCAAUUCCAUUCACGUCAAAAUAUUACUUCUGCUUUUAUAACCCUCUUUUAGAUAUAAAUUGGAGGUGUACCACUAUUCAUGUGGAUGUGGUUAAUUUCUUUUUUGAAGUGUGUUGUUGAUUGUAAAUAUUGCCUCCAUAUAUUUUAUGAAAUUGCACAUUGUGGACUUUCAAAUUUUGAUUGUAGCCAUUUGCUUGCUCUCCCAUUAGCUUGUGGUUCAAGAUUUUCACAGGAUGCUAAACGCAUAUCAAAGUUUCCUAAGAGCACACCGCCUAUGAUCUGCUUCAGAGAUGG